This 467-nucleotide ribosomal RNA is filed under the name uncultured bacterium. Its description in RNAcentral is "partial 16S ribosomal RNA". It matches the Rfam family "Bacterial small subunit ribosomal RNA", at positions 29 to 507 of the family's 1533-position model. The record is from RNAcentral.
ACGCACGCUGGCGGCGUGCUUCACACAUGCAAGUCGAACGGAAAGGCCCUGCUUUUGUGGGGUGCUCGCGUGGCGAACGGGUGAGUAACACGUGAGUAACCUGCCCUUGACUUUGGGAUAACUUCAGGAAACUGGGGCUAAUACCGGAUAGGAGCUCCUGCUGCAUGGUGGGGGUUGGAAAGUUUCGGCGGUUGGGGAUGGACUCGCGGCUUAUCAGCUUGUUGGUGGGGUAGUGGCUUACCAAGGCUUUGACGGGUAGCCGGCCUGAGAGGGUGACCGGCCACAUUGGGACUGAGAUACGGCCCAGACUCCUACGGGAGGCAGCAGUGGGGAAUAUUGCACAAUGGGCGGAAGCCUGAUGCAGCAACGCCGCGUGCGGGAUGACGGCCUUCGGGUUGUAAACCGCUUUCGCCUGUGACGAAGCGUGAGUGACGGUAAUGGGUAAAGAAGCACCGGCUAACUACGUG